RNAcentral lists this ribosomal RNA (253 nucleotides) under uncultured bacterium. RNAcentral's name for it is "partial 16S ribosomal RNA". It matches the Rfam family "Bacterial small subunit ribosomal RNA", at positions 524 to 776 of the family's 1533-position model. The record is from RNAcentral.
GACAGAGGGUGCAAACGUUGUUCGGAAUUACUGGGCGUAAAGCGUGUGUAGGCGGCCACGUAAGUCGGAUGUGAAAGCCCCAGGCUCAACCUGGGAAGUGCACUCGAUACUGCGUGGCUUGAGUAUCGGAGAGGUUGGUGGAAUUCUCGGUGUAGAGGUGAAAUUCGUAGAUAUCGAGAGGAACACCGGUGGCGAAGGCGGCCAACUGGACGAAUACUGACGCUGAGACACGAAAGCUAGGGGAGCAAACAGG